Molecule: non-coding RNA, 23 nt
Filed under: Gallus gallus (chicken)
Lineage: Eukaryota; Metazoa; Chordata; Aves; Galliformes; Phasianidae
Source: miRBase by way of RNAcentral
AGGCCUUCUUGCGUAGCACUUGA